This 203-nucleotide ribosomal RNA is filed under the name uncultured bacterium. RNAcentral's name for it is "partial 16S ribosomal RNA". It matches the Rfam family "Bacterial small subunit ribosomal RNA", at positions 1300 to 1500 of the family's 1533-position model. The record is from RNAcentral.
GUAGGCUGCAACCCGCCUACAUGAAGUUGGAAUUGCUAGUAAUCGCAGAUCAGAAUGCUGCGGUGAAUGCGUUCCCGGGUCUUGUACACACCGCCCGUCACACCACGGAAGUUGGGGGCGCCCGAAGCCACUUAGCUAACCCUUUUGGGAAGCGAGUGUCGAAGGUGAAAUCAAUAACUGGGGUGAAGUCGUAACAAGGUAAC